CCUACGGGAGGCAGCAGUGAGGAAUAUUGGUCAAUGGGCUUAAGCCUGAACCAGCCAAGUCGCGUGAGGGAAGACUGCCCUAUGGGUUGUAAACCUCUUUUGUCAGGGAGCAAGUGGUGCUACGUGUAGCGUUAUCGAGAGUACCUGAAGAAAAAGCAGCGGCUAACUCCGUGCCAGCAGCCGCGGUAAUACGGAGGAUGCGAGCGUUAUCAGGAUUGAUUGGGUUUAAAGGGUGCGUAGGCGGAAUGCCAAGGCAGCGGUAAAAUCGCGGGGCUCAACCUCGCUCCGCCGUUGAAACUGGCGUUCUUGAGUGUGCGUGACGUAUGCGGACUGCGUGGUGUAGCGGU
Molecule: ribosomal RNA, 347 nt
Filed under: uncultured bacterium
Lineage: Bacteria
Description: partial 16S ribosomal RNA
Rfam family: Bacterial small subunit ribosomal RNA
Source: RNAcentral